RNAcentral lists this long non-coding RNA (25749 nucleotides) under Sorghum bicolor (sorghum). Its description in RNAcentral is "long non-coding RNA (SBIC_LNC014400)". Lineage: Eukaryota; Viridiplantae; Streptophyta; Magnoliopsida; Poales; Poaceae. The record is from RNAcentral.
AUCCGACAAAUGUUAUAAGUGCUACACUCAUGAACUUUUCAUCUAUCAACUUUGUCUUGCUCACUAUGCUUAGGGUUAGAGAAGAAUAAAUACACUUUAGGUUCUGUUGGUGUUUUCCACCAACAGGACCCAUGCACUUGAUCUCUGCCUUGUCUCUAUGAGCAGGUACACUUCGAGCAAAACACGGAGGAGUUUUAUAACUCUCAGACUCUACCAAGUGAAGGACCUGGAUCUACAAGCACAAACACACUGAGCAGGAUACUGCCAACGCCGCACUUCGAACUGCUGGGCAAACGAAGAACGUGGGUGACACCGUAUCAAGAGGUGCAGACGUCAAGGUCCGCACCUAAAUCAAAUGACGCACCUGAAGAAUGAACACAGUGAAAAGUCUUGUCAAGAAGACUUAAAACAUUGAACCCUCGCCGAAAGGUAAGAUCGGUAGUUAUCCAUAUUUAUCCCUUCUGAAUUCUCUUUUCCCUUUAAUUAUUUACUUUCCUUAAAUAGAUUAUUAGUUAAUCAUGCUAUCUUGAAACGAAAAUAAAAAUGUUAAAAAAUACUAAGCCCCAUGUGAGUAUACGAGUGGCAUAAAACCCAUAAGUACCUUCACUAUGGUGGCAUAAAAAUAAAAUAAAUAUUUCUUUUCUGCUUUAUAAAAUAAAAAUAUAAAAACAGGGAGUAAUAUUUAUUGAGGAAGCUCAACAUGAUGAAAGCUAGAUAUUUAUGCUAACACUUAAUUAGUUCCACAAGCUUUGUUCUCUAUUUGAGCUCCACAGAAUUUAAGAAUCAAGAAGACUAGCAGACGGAGGACAUUCUAAUCGCUGUCAGAAUGUUGCUGACUUUCAAAUACACCUCUGCCACCUGCUAGCUACAUCAAGAGAAAUUACGUCAAAAUUCAGCUUGGGGGAGAGCACCCCCAUUUAUCUCGCUAAGUAUUUCUACCUAUCUUUAUACUUAUAUUAUAUUAGAAUAUUAAAAUACAUAAACUAUGAAAAACCAAAUAAAGAUUUUGUGCUUAUAUAUAUAUAUAUCUUUUGCUUAGCGUGUUUAAUAAAUAAAUAAAGUGGCUAUGCUAAUCUGAAUCUUAAUAAUAAAACUCUAGCAUGGAUAUGAUGAAUAGUUGCUCUGCCAUGACUAGUUCUCAAAAAUUGAAUUCUAUCUCAAGUUUACGCAUGACUGUUAUGAAUUAAGAUUUGCUCUAAACCUGAACUUGUGGGAAGAGUACUUGAUCUAAAGUCUAAGUCGUUAACGGAUAUGAUAUGGGAAGGUUGAGUUGCUAUUUAUCUGUUCCUAGAGAUGCUAGAAAUCUGGAGAAUUUUAUCUUUGAAAAUCAUUAAAAUAUUGCAUGAUGAGUUCCUGUAUGAUGGGAGUUUAAAAUCCUACCACAGCCAUAUAUAUAUGCUUAUUAGACUAUGAACCAUACAUUUACUUUUUACUGCUUAUGAGCAUUGAGUGUGGUCAAGCUGUUUAGACCCUUAGGAGCUUGUCAUAUGGUUAAAUCAAGAUCCACUUGCACGUUCACUCAUACAUGCUGCUACUACUCUGGAAGUACGCAUCCACAUACAUCCACUCAUUUCCAUCUCCAGAUUCACCCAAAAAUAUUCUACUCCUAAUCCGGGAGAGAAUAGCCAAAAAUAUUUCUGUUUUCCCUUGUGAAAUAAAUGCUCAAGUUAUCUUGCUACUACCACUUGCUAUAUUAUCUCAAGAGAUGAGUGCUCUGAAAAGAAAAAAAAGAGAGAAAAGAGAAGGAAAAAAAUAAAAAAAAUAAUAAAAAAACGAGGAAAUAAAAAGAGGCAAGUGCCUGGAACCUCGAAAGAAAGAAAAAGUGAGACGAGAGGUAAAAAUGGACAAGUGUCCGACAGUAGAAUUAGGGGUACAAGAUACCCACCUGAGAGGAAAGAAAAAGAAAAGCAUCUCAUUCUCCUCAUAAAGUUUCAAAAAGCAAGGAAGGUAUGUAUCCCCUCAAAAGAGCAAAAGUAGAAUUAGACUUUCACCAUUGUUAUCACCAUCAUCACCAUACACCAUUCAUUCGCCACACAUGAACAUCUUGAUUUGGCUUAUUGAUUUGUUUCUUUGGAUCCAUGGUUUGACUAUACAAUAAAUGUCUUGUAAGUAUGUAUACUUUAUCUCCCACCUAUGAGCUCCAGAUAUUAAAGCCUUAUUAGAGUAGGGUGAGAGGGAAGGCAAUGUCACUAUGCCUUAUACCACAAAUACCACAUAUCUUGAGAGAAGGCAUAUACCAUCACUGCCUUGGUAAGGAUCCAGAAAUACCACAAAAGAGAGAUUUAGAGAGUCAUACAAGGAAUCUCUGAGUUUUAUUUGAAAAUCUGCAAAAACUCCAGAGCUAUAGCUGAUCAAGAAUAAGAGACAUGGCACUUGGCUAGACUGUUCUAUCUUUUAACUACUCAAGACAGAAGUGACGGUUACAAGUCCCAUGGUGAAAGGUAAAGUAAGUAAGUUUUAGUUCUUGACAGUUUACUCUAACUCAGAGAUGAGAUCUUAUUUAAAAGCAAUUUGUACCGUCAAAUUUUUAAGAUAUUGUAACAAGUUCUAAUCCAUUGCUGAGUCUAUCCUUGCUCAGGGACGAGCAAGAGGUAAGCUUGGGGGAGUUUGUUGACGGUCCUUAAGUACCAAAUAUAAUCAUCAAAUAAACAAAGAAAAUGAUCCAAAUGAAAUCAACAUCUAGACUUAGGGUUUUAUCUGACAGAAUUCCACAAGUUUUGGUGUUUGUCUAUUUCUGCAAGGGGUUAUCAGGAAAUAUGGAAGAAAGGCCCACACAUCGGGAUUACAUAGAGAUAUCAAUGUGCCGCGCAAUUAUCUUACAUCUAGAAGACUCCAGAUGCCACGGGAAGGAAGCGGAGGCCGAACGUGGCCAGAGGCAGGGCGCCCGCCCUCCUGCCGAGCCCAAUCAGGAUUCUCUUUCGGGACGAUGUUCCACCGACCUAAAGGAUCAAGAAUUCCCGUUCAAUCAAUGUCGGUUUGAUCCGACGGCCUAGGUUCACUUGAGGGGACUAUAUAACCAGACCCCCUGGCCCCUGGAAGAGGCACCCCUUGAUCAUUAUUCAUUAUUCAUAGACAGAGCAAAAGCUAGGGUUUAGAGAUGAGAGCUCUCCUCUCUUCUCUAAACUAGAGUAGAUCUAGAUAGUAGCAAGAUGGAGAGCGAGGGUGGAUUGGAGGAGAGGCCGGACUGUCGGUUCUUCCUCUGGUUGUACUUCAUCAUGAUCAAGCUCUAAUCAAGCUUGCUCAUGGGAUGACUCUAGUAAUCUACUUCUAAUUCAUUAUGCAAUUACUAAUUAUGUAUGUUCUGGUUCACAACUCUUUUAAGUAUUCUAAUCUAUAGGACGCUAUAGGUGAGAGUUGUAGUAUAGGUGUAAGCGAGGUGCUUAGAUCUAGAUUACUUGUGGAUAUCCCCUGUCUAGCUGGAUCGUGUGGUAGGCCGCGUAGGUGACAGUUACGUUGGUCCUCUGUAGUCCACCUCUCGUUAGAAGGACGGGUAGGGUUUAUCGGCCUAAGGAUAAGCAUCCUUUGUGGUGUACUCUUAUCACAUGGUUCGUCCCAGACAUAGACAUACCCCUUUGAAGUAGAGAAACCAUAGUUAUUAUCUCUAUUCUGCUACUAUCGCCCAUAUACUAGAAUUGCUCUAUUCUCUAUUCCCAUAUUAUCACUCACUGUUAUCUUACCUUUAAUAUUGUUCUUAUUCGAUUCUACCAUCUUUCCUAUUUACACUUAUUUACUUAUCUUGGUCAAGUUAGAGCGUAGAUUAGUUCUCCCGUUUCCCUAUGGAUACGAUAAAACCUUUAACCGGGUAAAAGCUAUAACGGUAUCCAUGCGCUUGCGGAUUAUCUGUGUGCGUAUAAAUACCAUAGUACACUCUAGUGCCAUGCUGGGGAUGACAACCUAGUAUUCAAGUGGUGUUAGCAAGUGUCAACAGCCACCACAUCAAUUAGACAUCUAGAUUAGCAUAGCUACAUAGGAUUAGAACUAGAAGGAGUCAAUCUUCGAUUGGUUUCCGGAUCUGUCAAGAGGAUUCUUGGUAAUUAUCUAAUUGUUCUUCUAAUUGUUCUUCUAAUCAUCUUUGUUCUUCAAUGUUAUGAAUAUGACUUUGUUCUACUUCAAUAUAUUGCUUAUGACUUUGCUCUACUUAUUUAUAAUCAAGAUUAUAUUGUUCUUAGUUUAUCAUAGUUAUGUACUUGGCUUAGUUAGAUUGGAUCUAUAUACAUGUUUAGCAUCGUAUAGCGUUUAUCCAUCGGAUCCAUGGGUAAAUGAUAGAUAUUGUGUAGGCAUGGUGCUUAUACCGUAUUUAUCUGCGAUUCUACCCAAUAUGCCAGAUCGUGGGGUAGUUCGUGAUAGUGACAGCUUCAUUGAUUCUUAUAUAGUCCCCCUCUCGUGUAUUGGGCUGGCAGAGCAACAUUAUUAUAGGGGAGUGAUUGCUAUGUUUCUCAUUUACCUUGCUAAUAUCACUAUGCAUGGGCGUAGUCUUGUCUCGCAAUGAUUGCUAAGUAUGCUUGCACUAACUAUGAUAAUGCUAAACUAUAUAGUUGAGAAUAACUUAGGAAAUAUUCUUGUAGUUCGUUCUAAUACCAUGCUAAUGACUUUCUAGAGUAUCUAAUUGAGGUGCUUAUCAUAUUUAUAUGUGGCUGAUCAGAUUAAUUAUCUUUGUCACUAUUCAUUACUUCAUAUAUCUUUUAUGUGACACUUAUCACUGUAUGAAAGAGUUAGAUAAAUGUUCUCAAUUAUAUAUGCAAUGAUAGAUACUCAAUCUCAUAUUCUAUUCUGUAAUCAAUAUUGAUGAUUGUUAAUCCCUUCCCAGUGGUAAAAAUAUAAAUAACGAUACCUGGAAUACUUCCCGGUUAAAAUGCUACAUCGGUAUUAAUCUGUGCGCUUGCAGAUCCCAUUCCUUAUCUAUUAUUUAUUUAGAAGAGCAAUUGCAUAUUUCAAUACCGCGUCUCUCAUGUCAUGCUGGGGAUGACAACUUGGCUUAAGUGGUAUGAGGGAUAGGUUUGGCAUUUUUGGCACCGUUACUAGAAUUAGAAAGCUGUCUACUUUUGGUAAUAAUGUUAAGAAUACCCAACAAGCAUUUUUUGGCGCCGUUGCUGGGGAAGGUUGAUUACUAAUCAAGAAUGGAUAUAGAUUUUGAGUUAUCAUUUGCAUCACUAAUAUGAUUGAGCUUAUUAAUUCUCUCAUACAGUUUUACCCUGAUAUUUUCCUAUUUUAUCUUAUGCAGGGGAAUGUAUGAAUAGAAGACAUCUUCCAGGAAAUUUUGUUGACAAUCCCGAAGCGUUAUUCAAGAAGACAAGAGCCAAGCUCAAGAAGAGAUCAUCAACACUUCAACAAGAAGCUUGAUCCAAUCAAGAAGAUCACCGGAACUUGUCUUCAGAGUUCGAAGCCAUGGCGAACAAAUCAAUCCACGAGUUCUCAGCUCCCACUACGGACAACAUCCGCACUGGACCUGCUGCAGAGAUCGACGGAAACUUUGAGCUAAAGCCUAGACUUAUCAACAUGGUGCAAUCCAACCAGUUCUGUGGGAAGGCACAUGAAGAUGCUAGUGCUCAUCUCCAACACUUCCUGGAGAUUUGCAGUACAUUUACCAUAUCAGGAGUUUCCAGAGAUGCUAUACUGCUUCGCCUCUUCCCAUUCUCACUGUUAGGAAGAGCGAAGCAGUGGUUCUACGCUACAAAGGAGAAGAAUACUACGCGGGCACUCUGCUCAACAAACUUCUUGGCUAAGUUCUUUCCCGUGGGCAAGACCAAUGCUCUCCGUGGGAAGAUUACAAGUUUUUAGUAACAAAAUGAUGAAUCCGUUCUAGAAGCAUGGGAGCGCUUUCAAGACAACAUCCUAGAAUGUCCCCAUCAUGGAAUGGAGAGUUGGCUACUAAUGCAGACAUUUUAUCAUGGGCUCGGCAAUAGUGCCCGAGAAACCAUGGAUGCUGCAGCUAGAGGAGCAUUUUUAUCACUUACUAUACCACAAGCCACAACUCUUGUGGAGAAGAUGGCGUCCAACCAAGGCUGGAAUGAUGAGAGGACCCAGACACGCAAGAGAGGUGGAGGUAUGCAUCAGCUCAAGGAGGUAGACAUGCUGUCUGCAAAGCUAGACCUACUCAUGAAGAAGCUCGAUGAUAGAGCUGGAGAUAAGAAAGAAGUUAUGCACAUCUACGACUCUCACAUGACUUGUGAGGAGUGUGGAGAUACUGGACACUCAGGCAAUCACUGCCCUGAGAUGCUUGAGGAUGUGAACUACAUCAACAGUAACAACAAUAACUACUACAACCGUCCUCAACAAAAUCAAGGUUGGAAUCAACAGAGGCCUAACUACUCAGGUAAUUAUCAAGGUAACAAUUCUUACAACAAUAAUAAUAAUUUUCCACCUCCGAGAGAGUUAGUGUCUAAUCAAGGAAAGCUAAUGGAUAACCUAUCUAAGAAAUUGGCAUCUAAUGAUAUAAUGCUAGAAAAUAUAAAUAAUAGAAUGGAUAAUUUCUCUACUGCCAUCAAGAAUCAAAUUAGCUUUAAUAAAAUGAUUGAAUCUCAGUUAAAUCAAAUAGCUGCUACAGUUCCUACUACUAACCCCGGUAUACCAUCACAACCGGAAGGAUUAGAAUCUACAAAUCUUGUAGACAUGUUUGAUGCAGGUAAUAACUAGAGUAACCCCGUCACUGAAUUCUACACUGACCUUCUACUGGUCAAGAGAGGCGAUCCAGGACGCCCCGUCAUCCCGAUCUCCAUCGGCAUGGUGGACAUCCCAGAAGCACUCUGCGACUUUGGCUCUAGCGUCAACAUUAUGCCCAGGGUACUCUAUGAAAAAUUCUUUACAUAUCCUUUAUUAGAGACAACCAUGUGUUUGCAGUUUGCAGAUCAGGCAUUAAGUUUUCCAAAAGGAAUAUUGAAGAACCUUUGUGUCCGAGUUGGUACCUUGUAUGCCCUAGCAGACUUCGUGGUGAUAGAGACCGGUAAUGAUGAGAGAGCACCCAUCAUCUUAGGGAGGCCAUUCUUAAACACCUCGGGAGCUGUCAUCUAGACGUGAAUCAAGGAAGAGGACCAACAGGAGGAACAGGAACAAGCAAGUGUGGACCGAGUCAGCUAAGAUGAUCACUGCAGUUCAUGGAGGCCAAGAUCAUCAACUUAAGUCACCAUUUUUGACCAAGAAGGACGACCCAGGAAUGCCAAGCAUCUACUGCUCCAUAAAUGGAUACAGCUUCUACAAGACGACUUGUGACACCGGAUCGGGCGUCAACAUAAUGGCCGCAGUCACCUAUCGGCUCUUGUUCGGAACCAUGCCCCUAAGACCAACAUACAUUCAGCUCCAGAUGGCAGAUCAGACAUUUCGAGAAGUUAAAGGAACAGUAACUGAUGUCCCAAUCAAAAUAGACGAUCAUUUUGUCUACACAGACUUUCAGGUUAUUGACAUGAGAGAAGAUGAAUACGAUCCACCCAUCAUCCUUGGAAGACCGUUCCUCAGCACCGUUAAAGCAAUCAUCUACAUUGGAACUGGAGAAGUCCAUAUGCACUUCGCCUCAGUGAAGGUACGCCAUUAUUUUACUGACCCUAACUAUAUCGUUGAAGAAUCUAAGCAGGUAAGAAAACGACGCAACCGCAACCAGAGGAGGCAGAUCAUCAAGGACGGAUGGGCAGACUAUGAAGGAGAAGUGGUAAGGUCAGAAGACGUAGAGUUUAAACAGAAUUAUCCAGAGAAGACCGUAGCAUCGAGUCAGGUAUGGAAAGAGAAGAUAACUAUACAUGAAGAAGAGGCGCUACCGGAAGUACCGACAACGCCACCCAACGAAUCCCAGGACAAUUGAAGAAAGAGGAGAAUCCCGUUCGGAGGACUUAAAAACACCGAACGUCUUGCCAAGAGGUAAACUUGGUAGUUAUCCUUUCCCUUUCAAUUAUUUUAAACAGUUUGCUUAGUUAAUCAUGUUCAUGCUAUCCUAAAAAGAAAAUAAAAAUGUGAAAAAUAGUAAGCCCCAUGUGAGUAUACAUGUGGCAUAAAACCCAUAAGUACAUUCACUAUGGUGGCAUAAAAAUAAAAUAAAUAUUUUCUGCUCUAUAAAACGAAAAUAUAAAAACAGGAAGUAAUAUUUAUUAAGGAGGCUCAACAUGAUAAAGGCUAGAUAUUUAUGCUAACACUUAAUCCGUUCCACAAGCUUUGUUGUCUAUUUGAGCUCCACAGAAUUUAAGAAUCAAGAAGACUAGCAGACGGAGGACAUUCUAAUCGCUGUCAGAAUGCUGCUGACUUUCAAAUACACCUCUGCCACCUGCUAGCUACAUCAAGAGAAAUUACGUCAAAAUUCAGCUUGGGGGAGAGCACCCCCAUUUAUCCCGCUAAGUAUCUCUAUCUAUCUUUCUUUAUACUUAUACUAUAUUAAAAUAUAGAUAUACAUAAUUAUGGAAAAACAAAUAAAGAUUUUAUGUUUAUAUAUAUCUCUUUUGCUUAGUGUGUUUAAUAAAUAAAUAAAGUGGCUAUGCUAAUCUGUAUCUAAAUAAAACUCUAGCAUGGAUAUGAUGAAUAGUUGCUCUGCCUAAUUUGCAAUUUUAAGUUCUCUCACUAGUUUAGAUAUAACUGUUAUAAUUUAAAGCUUGCUCUAAACCUAAAUUUGUGGGAUGAAAACUUGAUCUGAAGUCUAAGUUGUUAACGAAUAUGAUAUGGGAAGGUUGAGCUGCUGUUUAUCUAUUCCUAGAGAUGCUAGAAUUCUGGAGAAUUUUAUCUUUGAAAAUCUUUAAAAUAUUACAUGAUGAGUUCCUGUAUGAUGAGAGUUUAAAUUCCUACUACAGCCAUAUAUACAUGCUUGCUAGACUUUGAGCCACACAUUUAUUUUACUGCUUAUGAGCAUUGAGUGUGGUAAAGCUGUGUAGACCCUUAGGAGCUUGUCAUGUGGUUAAAUCAAGAUUUCACUUGCACGUACACUCAUAUAUGCUACUUCUACUCCGGAAGUACCAUCCGCAUAUAUCCACCCAUUUCCAUCUCCAGAAUCACCCAAAAAUAUUCUACUCCUAAUCCGGGAGAGAAUAGCCAAAUUUUUUUUUGUUUUUCCCUUAUAAAAUAAAUGCUCCAGUUAUCUUGUUACUACCACUUGCUAUAUUAUCUCAAGAGAUGAGUGCUCUAAAAAAAGAGAGAAAAAAAGAAAUAAAAAAAUACGAGGAAAUAAAAAGGGACAAGUGCCCGGAACCUCGAAAGAAAAGAAAAAGUGAGACGAGAGGUAAAAAUGGACAAGUGUCCGACAGUAGAAUUAGGGGUACAAGAUACCCACCUGAGAGAAAAGAAAAAGAUAGAGCAUCUCAUUCUCCUCACUAUUCAAAAAGCAAGGAAGGUAUGUAUCCCCUCAAAUGAGCAAAAGUAGAAUUAGACUUUCACCAUUGUUAUCACCAUCAUCACCAUACACCAUUCAUUCGCCACACAUGCACAUCUUGGUUUGACUUAAUGAUUUGUUUCUUUGGAUCCAUGGUUUGACUAUGCAAUAAAUGUUUUGUAAGUAUGUAUAUUUUAUCUCCCACCUAUGAACUCCAGAUAUUAAAGCCUUAUUAGAGUAGGGUGAGAGAGAAGGCAAUGUCACUAUGCCUUAUACCACAAAUACCACAUAUAUUAAGAGAAGGCAUAUGCCAACACUGCCUUGGUAAUGAUCCAGAAAUACCACAAAAGAGAGAUUUGAGAGAGUCAUACAAGGAAUCUCAGAGUUUUAUUUGAAAAUCUGCAAAAAAACUCUAGAGCUAUAGCUGAUCAAGAAUAAGAGACAUGGCACUUGACUAGACUGUUCUAUCUUUUAACUACUCAAGAUAGAAGUGACGGUUACAAGUCCCAUGGUGAAAGGUAAAGUAAGUAAGUUUUAAGUCUUGACAGUUUACUCUAACUCAGAGAUGAUAUCUUAUUUAAAAAGCAUGUGUACCGUCCAAUUUUUAAAAGUAUUGCAGCAACUUCUAAUCUAUCCUUGCUUAGGGACGAGCAAGAGGUAAGCUUGGGGGAGUUUGUUGACGGUCCUUAAGUAUCAUAUUUAAGAAUCAAAUAAACAAAGAAAAGGAUCCAAAUGAAAUCAACAUCUAGACUUAGGGUUUUAUCUGACAGAAUUCCAUGAGUUUUGGUGUUUGUCUAUUUCUACAGGGGGUUAUCGGGAAAUACGGAAGAAAGGCCCACACAUCGGGAUUACAUAGAGAUAUUAACAUGCCGCACAAUUAUCUUACAUCUCGAAGACUCCAGAAGCCACGGGAAGGAAGCGGAGGCCGAACGGGGCCAGAGGCAGGGCGCCUGCCCUGUUUCCCUAGGCGCCCGCCCUCUGUUGGAGUCCAAACAGGACUUUGUUUCGUGGGAGUUCUCCACCAACCUAAAGGAUCAAGGAUAACCGUUCAAUCUAUGUCGGUUUGAUCCAACGGCCCAUAUUCACUUGAAGGGACUAUAAAACCAGACCCCCUGGCCCCUGGAGGAGAGAGCCUCUCAACCCUAAUUCAUUAUUCUUCAAGGGAGAAGAAGCCUCUAAUCAAGAUUAGAGCCACCACAUCAAUUAGACAUCUAGAUUAGCAUAGCUACGUAGGAUUAGAACUAGAAGGAGUCAAUCUUCGAUUGGUUUCCGGAUCUGUCAAGAGGAUUUUUGGUAAUUCUCUAAUUGUGCUUCUAAUUGUUUUUCUAAUAAUCUUUGUUCUUCAAUAUUAUGAAUAUGACUUUGUUCUACUUUAAUAUAUUGUUUAUGACUUUGCUCUACUUCUUUAUAUUCAAGAUUAUAUUGUUCUUAGUUUAUCAUAGUUAUAUACUUGGCUUAGUUAGAUUGGAUCUAUAUACAUGCUUAGGAUCGUAUAGCGUUUAUCCAUCGGAUCCAUGGGUAAAUGAUAGAUAUUGUGUAGGUGUGGUGCUUAUACCGUAUUUAUCUGCGAUUGUACCCAAUAUGCCAGAUCGUGGGGUAGUUCGUGAUAGUGACAGAUUCAUUGAUUCUUAUAUAGUCCCCCUCUCGUGUAUUGGGCUGGCAGAGCAAUAUUAUUACAGGGGAGUGAUUGCUAUGUUUCUCAUUUACCUUGCUAAUAUCACUAUGCAUGGGCGUAGUCUUGUCUCACAAUGAUUGCUAAGUAUGCUUGCACUAAUUAUGUUAAUGCUAGACUAUAUAUUUGAGAAUAACUUAGGGAAUAUUCUUGUAGUUCGUUGUAAUACCAUGCUAAUGACUUUCUAAAGUAUCUAAUUGAGGUGCUUAUCAUAUUUAUUAUGUGGCUAAGUUAUGAUCAGAUUAAUUAUCUUUGUCACUAUUCAUUACUUCAUAUAUCUUUUAUGUGACACUUAUCCCUGUAUGAAAGAGUUAGAUAAAGGUUCUCAAUUAUACAUGCAAUGAUAGAUACUCAAUAUCAUAUUCUAUUCUGUAGUCAAUAUUGAUGAUUGUUAAUCCCUUCCCAGUGGUAAAAAUAUAAAUAAUGAUACCUGGAAUACUUCCCGGUUAAAAUGCUACAUCGGUAUUAAUCUGUGCGCUUGCAGAUCCCAUUCAUUAUUUAUUUAGAAGUGCAAUUGCAUAUUUCAAUAUCGCGUCUCUCAUGUCAUGCUGGGGAUGACAACUUGGCUUAAGUGGUGUGAGGGAUAGGUUUGGCAUUUUUGGCACUGUUACUAGAAUUAGAAAACUGUCAACUUUUGGUAAUGAUGUUAAGAAUACCCAACACUAAGCAGGUAAGAAAACGACGCAACCGCAACCAGAGGAGGCAAAUCAUCAAGGACGGAUGGGCAGACUAUGAAGGAGAAGUUGUAAGGUCAGAAGACGUAGAGUUUAAACAAAAUUAUUCAGAGGAGACCGAAGCACCGAGUCAGGUAUGGAAAGAGAAGAUAACUAUACAUGAAGAGGAAGCACCGCUAGAAGUACCAACUACGCCACCCAACGAAUCCCAGGACAAUUGAGAAAACGGAGAGUCCCGUUCGGAGGACUUAAAAACACCGAACGCCUUGCCAAGAGGUAAACUUGGUAGUUAUCCUUUCCCUUUUAAUUAUUUCAAUUAGUUUACUUAGUUAAUUAUGUUCAUGCUAUUCUAAAAUAAAAUAAAAAUGUGAAAAAGAGUAAGCCCCAUGUGAGUAUAUGAGUGGCAUGAAACCCAUAAGUACAUUCACUGUGGUGGCAUAAAAAUAAAGUAAAUAUUUCGUUUCUGCUCUAUAAAAUGAAAAUAUAAAAAUAGGGAGUAAUAAUUAUUAAGGAGUCUCAACAUGAUAAAGGCUAGAUAUUUAUGCUAACACUUAAUCAGUUCCACAAGCUUUGUUGUCUAUUUGAGCUCGACAAAAUUUAAGAAUCAAGAAGACUAGCAGAUGGAGGACAUUCUAAUCGCUGUCAGAAUGCUGCUGACUUUCAAAUACACCUCUGCCACCUGCUAGCUACAUCAAGAGAAAUUACGUUAAAAUUCAGCUUUGGGGGAGAGCACCCCCAUUUAUCCCGCUAAGUAUUUCUAUCUAUCUUUAUACUUAUACUUAUAUAAAUAUACAUAACUAUGAAAAACCAAAUAAAGAUUUUGUGCUUAUAUAUAUAUAUAUCUUUUACUUAGUGUGUUUAAUAAAUAAAUAAAGUGGCUAUGCUAAUCUGUAUCUAAAUAAAACUCUAGCAUGGAUAUGAUGAACAGUUGCUCUGCUUAAUUUUCAAAUUUGAAGUUCUCUCUCAAGUUUAGACAUAACUGUUAUAAUUUAAAGCUUGCUCUAGACCUAAAUUUGUGGGAUGAAAACUUGAUUUGAAGUCUAAGUUGUUAACGGAUACGAUAUGGGAGGGUUGAGCUGUUGUUUAUCUGUUCCUAGAGAUGCUAGAAUUCUGGAGAAUUUUAUCCUUGAAAAUCUUUAAAAUAUUGCAUGAUGAGUUCUUGUAUGAUGAGAGUUUAAAUUCCUACCACAGCCAUAUAUACAUGCUUGCUGUUGAUAUUUGGGAACUGUCGACGAAAGCUGGUCGGCAGUCUACCUUGGGGUAUACCCACGGUAGUAGUUUAUCGGUAGACGGUGCGCAAACUACGAACUCGAUGGUGACGCAAGACUCGGACAAGCUUUUUAUCCAGGUUCGGCCGCCGAGUUGGCGUAAUACCUACCUCCUGCGUCUGGUUGUAUUGAUUUGUGUUGAGAGAAUAUGAUGUAUGACUUGUCCUCUAGGGGACCCCUGCCCCUCCUUAUAUAUCCUGAAGGGACAGAGUUACAAGCAAAGUAUCCUAUUUGGUACAAAAUCUUGUAGCCUUGCGGUGCACGCCGACCAGUCGUGCGCCGCACGUCUUCAUCUUGUGGGCCGAGCCACCUCUGAUGGUGCGGCCCAUAUAGGCCCAUGAGGGUAUAGGGGUUUAUACCCCCACAGCUAGUCCCCGAGCACCAUGUAUUGUGAUGUAACACGCCGUCUUGAGCUUCUUCGAUCAGCGAGGCUUGACAUCUUCAAUAAACAGGAAAGUCGCCCAAACAGUUGCAACGAUAUUUUGACCAACUCAAAAGACAGUUGAUCAACAUUGACAUCAAAGAAGCAGGUUGUUCGAAGAAUGCAUGGUGCUCCAAAUUAAAAAAGAUUUCUUUCCUGGUGAAGUGUGCCCACUUUACUUUUCUGAAAAGUAUAGUCUUUCAAAAAGCAAGCACAUUCACCGCAAGGUGAAGUGUGCCCACUUAGUCCCCGAGCCUGGUAGUAGGUGACGUAGGCACGUGGUGCCAGGGUCAAAAGAAAAGUCCUCAAAGAAAUUCUGAAACUGAGAUGCAUCGCCUGAUGCAUCGUACCGAUGUAGUCCCCGAGCUUGCUGGAAGGCGAAGUAUGAGCCUUGUAGCAAGGUCUAAAAAAUUGAAUUUACCAGUCCCCGAGCAUAUCAUGCUCGUAUGCAAUUGAAUAGACUAAUCGACCAGUCCCCGAGCAUAGAACGCUCGGUGGUCGGUACAGUCCCCGAAUUCUCAAAUUGGUGGGCUGGUCGACCAGUCCCCGAGCGUAUAGUGCUCGGUGGUCGGUGCAGUCCCCAAGCUCUUAAAUUGGUGAGCUGGUCGACCAGUCCCCGAGCGUAUAGUGCUCGGUGGUCGGCACAGUCCCCGAGCACGGCGUAGGGACCGGUGGACAAGUCCCCGAGCGUGGUUGGGAACGUAAACGUGCUCGGUGGUUGGCACAGUCUUCGAGCAUAGCAUAGAGAGUAGUCGACAAGUCCCCGAGCGUGGUUGGGAACGUAAACGUGCUCGGUGGUCGGAGCAGUCCCCGGGCACAGCGUAGGGAAUAGUCGACGAGUCCCCGAGCGUAGCUUGUCGACUGGGCCAAACCCCUGAAAAAUAAAUAUAAAGAAUAGGUAGUACAUGAUGUAUAAAUAAACUUUAGAUAAAAAUCAGUACUGAGAUAAGUUUUAGAUUUUUUGUUAUAAAAUUAGCACAAGUAGUUAAUUCAUCCUAGAGCUUGUACCAGCUCUGGUCUAGCCAACAAUCAGCAUGAGGUGCGGAACCUAGGCAUGCGUAGGAUUGUCAGCCACGUCAGAGAGUACUGCCGACCACCCGGAACGCAGAGGGCGGAUCUCGUGCACGUGUAGGGAGGAGUCGGAGACAGUACCGGCUCUGGAAAGCUCGUGUAGGAGAAAAAACUAGUCGGCUAAAAAAGUUGUUUUGAAGAAUAAUAAAAAAUAUUAUGCCAAAAAUAAAUAAGAUAUUAGAAGUGUACUUAUCUUUGGAUGAAAGUCUAGUUAGUGACGACAAAAUUGUCCGGCCUUCGAGCUUUUCGACUUGUCAUGAUGGUGGUCGCUGUUGUCGUAGCGUCGUUCUUCGCGGCGAUUAUUAUUGCGACUCGUGGUCAGAGCAAGUAGGCCAAACAAUUUGGUCGAUGGCCCGAGCAGGUCGGUGUUGUCGAUCUGCCUCCCUUUGUAGCAGGGAAGCAGGUGACGCGUUGUCGGCGUGGUCGGAGACGUUGCUGGAGUAGUCGGAGUCGUAGCCAGCGUGGUUGAAGCCGCCGCCGACGUCGAUGAAGAAGUGGUUGGCGCAGAUCGGAUCUACACCUCCUCCGUGGUCAUGGCGGUGAAGUUGUUGAAGCUGACGGUGAACGUGAAGUCGCCCGCCAUGGCCGCGAAGUCGGGGAUGAUGGCCAUCUUGUUCGUCGGGAGAGCUGUACGCACACCCCCUACCUGGCGCGCCACUGUCGACGAAAGCUGGUCGGCAGUCUACCUUGGGGUAUACCCACGGUAGUAGUUUAUCGGUAGACGGUGCGCAAACUACGAACUCGAUGGUGACGCAAGACUCGGACAAGCUUUUUAUCCAGGUUCGGCCGCCGAGUUGGCGUAAUACCUACGUCCUGCGUCUGGUUGUAUUGAUUUGUGUUGAGAGAAUAUGAUGUAUGACUUGUCCUCUAGGGGACCCCUGCCCCUCCUUAUAUAUCCUGAAGGGACAGAGUUACAAGCAAUGUAUCCUAUUUGGUACAAAAUCUUGUAGCCUUGCGGUGCACGCCGACCAGUCGUGCGCCGCACGUCUUCAUCUUGUGGGCCGAGCCACCUCUGAUGGUGCGGCCCAUAUAGGCCCAUGAGGGUAUAGGGGUUUAUACCCCCACAGGAACGCAAUAAGGAAUUGAUCCGCAAGCGCACGGAUAUCGGUGAGCACUUCACCCGGGAAAUUAUCCAGAGUAUCGUAUUUAUUUUUUUACCACUAGGAGAAAGAGUGCAUCUGACUAACCGGUCUAUUACUACUAACCUUUAGGCACAAAGAAUGUCUUUCGAUGUGAGUGAUAAAUAGAGAAGACUGCAACCGUAGUCUCCUUCUAACCUUGGUAAGGAUGAUCUACUGCUCUAAUGGGGAGGCUAACGGAAUCUAGACACCACAAAGGAUGUUCAACCCGCACCUAUAAACCCUAUCCUUCCUGCUAACGAGAUGUGAUCUACAAAGGUAGCUCGGAAAUGUCACGUUCCUCACUACUACCACGGUCCAGCUAGUCAGGGAAUAUCUAUGAGUACCCCAGCCUAAACACUACGUUUACACCAGCAAUGAUUACUCUAAACUCUACGCGAAGAGAUUAAAGUAAACUCAUAAACCAUAAGAACAAUAAAACAAGAACUUACUAGAAUUUAGAAGUCGAAUUACUAAAGAAUCCUAGGAGCAAGCUUCGGGUUAGGAGAACUUGAUCCCGCAGGUACAAGCUUGGAGUAGACACCGACAGGCCGGGCUUCCUCCACUCUACACCUCCACUCUAUCUCUCUCAAUCUAGUAGAAACUAGAAGAUCUAUUUCUACCAUACAUUGAUUGCUAAGCCUAAAAAGAAAUAUUAAUUAGAGAAGAGGUUUUCCUUCGAGGGCACCCCUCAGUCUCUAUGAUAAUUUCUCCAUGUCUUCUCCAGGGGCCAGGGGCCUUGCUUAUAUAGUCCUCCCCUUCUAUGCGUUUUUGGGUCGAUAGCCGAGGUGGUACUAUGUUUUUCUUGAUCCAAUAGGUCGGUGGAAUAUCCCGAGCGAAGGAGUCCUGAAUUGGCUCCAGCAGGGGGGCGGGCGCCCAGGCUUCCAGGGCGGGCGCCCUGGGCCUGGCCCAGUUUGGCCUCCGCUUCGGUCUCGUGGCUUCUGGAGUCUUCUAGAUGAUGUAAAAUUGCGCGGUGCGUUGAUAUCUCUAUGUAAUCCUGGCAUGUGGGCCUUUCUUCCUUAUUUCCUGAUAACCCCCUGCAGAAAUAGAUAAACAACAAAACUCGUGGAAUUCUGUCAGAUCAAACCCUAAUUCUAUGUGUGAGUUGCAUAUUGGUCCUUUUUCUUGUUUAUUUGAUAAUUAAAAUUGAUACUUAAGAACCGUCAACAAAUACCCCCAUACUUAGGCUUUUACUCGUCCUCGAGAAAAGGAUGGUUAAGAAAAAUAUCUGGGGUAAACAUUUAAAACAUUCUCUUUAUAAUUGCAGGGUGUUAAAAAUUCCACUGUGUACCAUAGUCAGGGAAGUGUAUGAUUAAGAGUAAAGAUCCUUUCUUCUCAAUCCUGUCACUUGGAGUUUUUGUAUAUUUUUGAAAGAAAGUUAGCAUACCUUUUUAUCCUCAUAGGUUCUCUCAGAUCACUCAUUAUCUUUUAUAUAUAUCUCACUGAGGCUGUUUUAAUUUUGCAAAAAUUCUCAAGCAUUCUUACUUUGCAUUUAUUGCUUGAUCAAAACGGGAUCCGAGGAGGGGAAUGUCAUACUCUUAGAUCAAAGACUUUAGAAAUUAAGAACUUUGUCAACUCUUGCUGGCAUAUUGCUUAUUAGAGGGACCAUGGGCUAUCAUUUUUUUUAAGUGGAUACCGAGGUACCCCUAAUUCUACUGCCGGACACUUGUCCAUUUUUUUCUGCGAGGUUGUCGAGCACUUGCUCCUUUUUAUUUCCUCGAAAUAUCUUAUUUUUGCAUAGCCCAUGCCUCUAAUGCAAUAAUACUUCGGAAGAGUGAAUCUUACUGAAAUAGUGUCUUGAUCUUGGGAGCAUGAUAAAUCUCUCAACAAGGGUCUAACUCAUUUUGAACAAACUCAAUACAGAGUAGAUAGCUUUUAUAAUCAUAAUUAAUAUUUUUAGUUUUAUCAGGCAUAUAAAACACUGAGGAUGGUAGCUAGAAUUUUGAAUAUUUUGAAAUAAAUUCUCCAAGCAACAAUGAUAUCAAGAAUAAGAAACUCAUAAUCUACCAUCACAUAUUCCAUAUUGACUUAAGUAACAUAGGGUUUUAAAAUGAUUUUAUAAUAAUUGCAAGUUUUCAGGAAAUAUCACAGAUUGAGAUUAAGCAUGAUUAGAAAUAUUUUAAUCUUUUUUUUUAAUUUAUCAUGUCGGAAACAGUAAUCUGCAUAAUCCAGAAUAAAUGUAUGUAUGAAGUAAAGUGUGCAGAGUGUGUACCUGAGUGGUGGAGUGGUGUAGUUGGAGUGUGUUUGGCAUGUCGAGGGAUCUCCCCCAUACUUGUUUUCUGCUUUCUUGCACAAAAAUAAAGUAGAGACACACAAGACAUAAUAAUAAUAAUAAUACUCUUUAUUGAUCUUGAGGCAUUUAUUACAAAAGACUAAUAGCAAACUGAUAGCAAACAUAAACUGAAUUUAAAGAUAGAUAACUAAGAUGUAUUGCCUCAAGGUCUAAUCUAGAUAACUUAGCGGCGCUCUAAUUCCUUGAUCUUCUUGUUGGCACUGGCAAGAUCCUGCCUAAGGCCUAGUAUAAUGGUGUUGUGGUUAGAGAGCUGUCUAGUGAGGGAAUUAAUCGAGGACUGAAGGUCUAUGAUAAUUCAUCUAGCCUGCGAACUUCCUCAUCAAUAUCCAUUAUAGUCUUGCGACGCUUGGGAGGUGUCUCAAAAGCAUUGAGAGAGUGCUUCGGGGCUGCUUUUGGAGGGAUGAAACGGACUUUGGCUGCUCUAAUCCCUUCAAAGUAAGGCCUUUCCUCCUCCGUAGUGUAGCGAACGCUGCUGAUCUCGCCGCUUCGGUUGGUCUUGACUCCAACGACCCUCUCAUUGGGUCUAGGUGGAAGGAUCCUUGUGCCGAUUGGCACCUUGAUAGUGGUCUUCGUCUUGGAUGAUGGUCCUUUGAGGAGUAGGGGUUGUGGUGGUGCGGUGAGAACUGGUUGAGCAUGGUAAGAUUGGGCGGAGCUGCGUUGGCGUAAUGGCAUGGCUUCUAGCUGACGCUCUGUGUUGGCCGGGACGAGAGCACGAGCAUCGGGGUUUUCCACUGGCUCUAUGUUGAGGUUGAAGGGGACGACUUCCCAAUCGUCGUGGUACUUGUCGGCCAUUGGAGUAGCAAGGAACUAAUAAAAUUUUAAUUGAAGGAGAGCUAAUUAAGCUCUAAUUGAAGGAGAGAAAGGUUGAUGGCUUGGUGUUUGAAAACUGAGGUCAGGGGUCUGUUUAUAUAGGGGUCAAAAGGAUGCCUCUAUGGGUUGUUCGGGUUGCUCCCGUCGAUGUGCGUGCGAAACUUUCCAUCCGAGGGAUUAUUCGGAUCACCCUAAGUGCAUUUUCCAUAACAGAGAAAGUCGGGACCGAGGGGGAACAGGGGCUGGGCGCCCGCCCACUUGACCUGGGCGCCCGCCCUCUCUCUGGCCCCUCUGUGGGCCCACUUCUCCGAGCGCGUUUCUAGAUGCGAAAUUAUUUAGAAAAAUAUAUAUAUGACCCAAAACCAUCAGGCCAAAAGUGUCGGGCUCUAAUUCUCUAUGGGAAGGUAAAAAUGGACUACGUCUAUUUCUUCUAAUUCCUCAUUGGGCUCUAAAAAUAAUUUAAGACGUUGACCAUUUACCUUGAAUAACGUACCUUCACUAUUUUGAAGUGUGAUAGCUCCGUGGGAUGAUGAAUUGAUUACCUUGAAUGGUCCUUCCCAUUUGCUUCGGAGUUUUCCAUGCCCGAAAAGCUUCACCCUGGAAUUAAAAAGUAAUACCUUAUCUCCGGGUGUGAACUCCUUCUUCUUGAUUCUCUUGUCAUGCCACCUCUUGACUCUUUCUUUGUAGAUCUUUGAAUUGUGAUAUGCCUUCUCUCGCCAUUAUUCCAAUUCUGAUAGUUGCAUUCUUCUAUAAUCUCCAGCAACAUCUAGGUCCAUAUUCCAUCUCUUUAUGGCCCAGUGUGCUUUGAACUCUAGUUCAACAGGUAGAUGGCAAGUCUUCCCGUAUACCAAUUGGUAUGGAGACAUCCCAAUUGGGGUCUUGUAUGCUGUCCGGUAUGCCCAGAGUGCAUCAGGUAACUUGUCUUUCCAUGCCGUUCCCAUUUCAUUUACUGUCUUCUGAAGAAUAUUCUUGAUUUGUUUGUUGGAAGUUUCUGCUUGGCCACUUGUCUGAGGAUGAUAGGGGGUAGCGACGUUGUGACGGAUUCCAUGUCUUGAUAGAUAUUGCUUGAAGCGUUUGUCGAUGAAGUGUGCUCCUCCAUCACUUAUCACUACUCUGGGAACUCCAAAUCUUGGAAAUAUAAUUUCUUCAAACAUCCUAUUUGAACUGACGUUGUCGGCAUGCUUGCAAGGUAAUGCUUCUACCCACUUGGAGACAUAGUCAACUGCCACCAAGAUGUACUCGCACUUCUUUGAUGGAGGAAAUGGACCCAUGUAGUCUAUUCCCCAGACAUCAAAGAGCUCAAUCUGAAGGUUGUUGGUGAGUGGCAUUGCAUCCCUUGUAUUUAUGUUUCCGUGCCUUUGACAUGGCCCACAUCUUCUGAUAUAUUGCUUCGUGUCUUCAUACAUUGUAGGCCAAUAGAAUCCACACUGCCAGAUCUUUGAAUGUGUACGGAAUGCUCCAUAAUGACCUCCAUAUGGUGAUGAAUGACAUCUGUCGAUGAUCUUCCAUCCUUCCUCAGUGGUCACACAUCUCCUGAGUAAGCCAUCAGAGCAUACUCGGAAAAGGUAUGGCUCAUCCCAUAUAUGUGAACGACUUUCUUGAGUAAGCUUCUUCUUGUUUGCACCUGGUGGUACAUACCCUGAAACCAUAAAAUUAACAAUAUCUGCAUACCAGGGGUCAGACCUGUUAAUCCCGUAGAGCAUGUCGUCCCGGAGUGAAUCAUUGAUGGGGGUUUCCUGUGGACUCUUAAAAUACAUUCUAGACAAGUGAUCAGCAACAGAAUUUUCUACUCCUUUUUUAUCUUUUAUUUCUAAGUCAAAUUCUUGGAGUAAUAAGAUCCAUCUAAUCAGGCGAGGUUUAGCAUCUUUUUUAGUGAGCAAAUAUUUUAAUGCAGCAUGAUCAAUGUAAACAAUUAUUUUAGCUCCAACUAAAUAAGAUCUAAAUUUAUCAAUGGCAAAGACAACAGCCAGAAGCUCUUUUUCAGUGGUUGCAUAAUUAAGUUGAGCUCCUGUCAAAGUUUUAUUGGCAUAAGCAGUUGCAUGAUGCUUCUUAUUUUUAGUUUGUCCUAAUACUGCCCCCACAGCAUAAUCACUAGCAUCACACAUAAUUUCCAAAGGCAACGACCAAUCAGGGGGUUGAAUGAUUGGUGCCGAGAUGAGUGCUUUCUUUAAUAAAUUGAAAGAUGUUAGACAUGCAUCAUCAAAUUCGAAAGGAGCAUCCUUGGCUAGCAAAAGAGUAAGUGGUCUAGCAAUAAAUGAAAAAUCUUUUAUGAAUCUACGAUAAAAACCAGCAUGGCCAAGAAAGCUUCGAAUUCCUUUUAUGUUCACAGGUGGAGGUAGUUGUUCAAUUACUUCAAUUUUAGCUUUGUCUACCUCAAUACCUCUUUCAGACACUAAGUGUCCUAGCACUAUUCCUUCCCUAACCAUAAAAUGACAUUUUCCCCAAUUAAGGAUUAAGUGCUUUUCUUCACAUCUUUGCAAAACCUUGUCUAAGUUUUCAAGACAACUAUCAAAAGUUUUUCCAUAAACAGAGAAAUCAUCCAUGAAAACUUCCAUAAUCUCUUCAAUCAUAUCAGAAAAUAUAGACAUCAUGCAUCUUUGAAAAGAAGCUGGUGCAUUACAUAACCCAAAAGACAUUCUACGGUAAGCAUAAGUUCCAUAAGGGCAUGUAAAAGUGGUUUUGCUUUGAUCAUCGGGAUGGAUCGGGAUUUGAUGAUACCCUGAAUAUCCAUCUAAGAAACAAAAGAAUGAAUGGUUUGCUAACCGCUCUAGCAUCUCAUCUAUGAAAGGUAAAGGAAAGUGAUCCUUUCUCGUGGCUUUGUUUAAUUUUCUAUAGUCUAUGCACGUCCACCAUCCUGUGACGGUGCGUUGCGGAAUUAGCUCAUUCUUUUCAUUCAUAAUAACUGUCAUGCCUCCCUUUUUAGGUACAACUUGUACUGGGCUUACCCACUCACUGUGCGGCACAGGAUAUAUAAUCCCUGCAUGCAGCAACUUUAUAACUUCCUUUUUAACUACCUCUCUCAUAGUAUUGUUAAGUCUACGUUGGGGUUCUCGAGAGGGUGUAACAGAAGGAUCUGUUAGAAUACGAUGGGUACAAAUCAUAGGACUGAUUCCUGUAAGAUCUUGAAGUGAGUAGCCGAAAACUGAGUGAUGUUUCUCAAGAAUGGUCAUUAAUUGCAGAGUUUGAUCCUGAGUGAGUUUAUCGCUAAUGAUCACAGGGAACUCUGGAUUAUUGUUUAGGAAAGCAUAGGUAAGACCGGGUGGUAAAGUUUUAAGUUCUAUGGGGGGUCUAGGUGUUUCUGCAAACUCAUCUAAUGGUUCAGGCUCAGAAGGUUCGUCUUCUUCUUCUGUGAAGAAAGGAGUUUUGUCUUCUAAGUCUGGUUCAUCUAAAAGCUCUAGAGAUGCAGCCUUUACCUCCUCCAUAGGAUCAGGCAAAAGAUAUGACUCGGCCUUAUUAUUUAAGGAGUGUGAAAUUAUUAUUGGGAAUUGAAAAGUUUUUCCAAAAGAAAUGUGUAGCCUUCCAGUAUGACCUUCAUAAAGGAGUCUUCUAAAAGGUUGUCCUAUUAACAGGUCGAAGUCCCAUGUAUCAAAGAUAUAGAAGUUCAAGUGAACCAUGGAGCCUUCUACUGUAAGAGGUAGGACAUUAAUAAUUCCAAGACUGGGGACUAAUCGUCCCGGAGAUUCCUUUAUGACCUUUGUUGUGGGGGUUAAGAUAAGAUUUUUAAAUAGUUUAAGUGCAAAGGAUUCAGACAUAAUGUUGAUCCCCACAACAGGAUUAUAGAGAGCAUUAAAUCGAUCAGAAUUAUAAGCACAGCGUAUAGUUAUAGAGGGUGUGUCCAAACGGAUCACAUCAGAGGAAAGCUCUGAUUCCUCCAACCAUUCGCUACUCAUUACUGAGAUAAGCUCUCUCAAUUGAUAUUCACUUGGUAAAUAAAUGCUAAACUGGCCAUUUUGGGGUUUGUCAAUAGAAUGGUAGUUUGAAAUAUUUCCAAAAUCGGCAAAAAGAUCGGAUUCUAUAUCCAGCAUGAAGUCCGGUAGUGGAAUUUCUUCCUCUUGUGGCUCAGAACUUGGGAUAGCUAAAGUAGAUGAAGAAUUUGGCAGAGUGUCUACUUCGGCUUCGUAGGUUUCAUCAUGAAGGGUAUUAUCCAUCUCAGCUUCUAGGAUUCUAUCUAGGAUCACUCUUGCUUCAUCAGCAGGGAUGCGAAAGAAAGAACCUCUAGACAUUGUGUGCAGCAUUUGUUUGUGAUUUUUCUGAAGACCUCAAAAAAAGUGAAAUAAAAGAACAGGGUCUUCAAGAUUAAGGUUUGGACCAGAUUCUAAAAGAUCAGAAAAAUGUUUCCAGGAUUUUCCCAAAGUUUCAUUAUCUUUUUGUUUAAAAGAUAGGACUUCGAGUCUAAGGUCGGCUAUACGGUCAAGGGAAUAGAAAUCUAGACAAAAGUUGGCUCGUAAAACUCCCCAUUCACCUUGUUGUUGACUUACCUUCUGACUGUACCAUUGUCUAGCUUCUCCCCUUAGAGAAAAAGGAAAAAGCUUCCAACGUAAAGUUUUAUCAGAAAUGCCUUCAAUGCGAAGACAAUCACAUGUUUGCUCAAAAUCUCUAAUAUGAAGGUAAGGGUUUUCGUCUUCCUUUCCCGAAAAAGAUAAGUUUUGAAUCAUGGCAAUUAACCUAGAACUUAACUUAUACUGGGGUGUUUGGAUAGGCUGUGAUGAUUCCCAUGGUAAAAGGUCAGUUGCUAAAGGGAUUGCAGACUCAUGGAUCGAUUUAGAAUUUUGGUUUUCCAUAAGGUAAGAGUAAAGAAAAAUAAAUAACGAAUAUAAAAGAUAAGAAAAGAUAAAAGUAUAGAUACAAGCUAAUAGCAAGACACAGGUUAUCUCAGCAACCGUCUUUCUUCCCGGCAACGGCGCCAGAAAUGCUUGUUGAUAUUUGGGAACGCAAUAAGGAAUUGAUCCGCAAGCGCACGGAUAUCGGUGAGCACUUCACCCGGGAAAUUAUCCAGAGUAUCGUAUUUAUUUUUUUACCACUAGGAGAAAGAGUGCAUCUGACUAACCGGUCUAUUACUACUAACCUUUAGGCACAAAGAAUGUCUUUCGAUGUGAGUGAUAAAUAGAGAAGACUGCAACCGUAGUCUCCUUCUAACCUUGGUAAGGAUGAUCUACUGCUCUAAUGGGGAGGCUAACGGAAUCUAGACACCACAAAGGAUGUUCAACCCGCACCUAUAAACCCUAUCCUUCCUGCUAACGAGAUGUGAUCUACACAGGUAGCUCGGAAAUGUCACGUUCCUCACUACUACCACGGUCCAGCUAGUCAGGGAAUAUCUAUGAGUACCCCAGCCUAAACACCACAUUUACGCCAGCAAUGAUUACUCUAAACUCUACGCGAAGAGAUUAAAGUAAACUCAUAAACCAUAAGAACAAUAAAACAAGAACUUACUAGAAUUUAGAAGUCGAAUUACUGAAGAAUCUUAGGAGCAAGCUUCGGGUUAGGAGAACUUGAUCCCGCAGGUACAAGCUUGGAGUAGACACCGACAGGCCGGGCUUCCUCCACUCUACACCUCCACUCUAUCUCUCUCAAUCUAGUAGAAACUAGAAGAUCUAUUUCUACCUUACAUUGAUUGCUAAGCCUAAAAAGAAAUAUUAAUUAGAGAAGAGGUUUUCCUUCGAGGGCACCCCUCAGUCUCUAUGAUAAUUUCUCCAUGUCUUCUCCAGGGGCCAGGGGCCUUGCUUAUAUAGUCCUCCCCUUCUAUGCGUUUUUGGGUCGAUAGCCGAGGUGGUACUAUGUUUUUCUUGAUCCAAUAGGUCGGUGGAAUAUCCCGAGCGAAGGAGUCCUGAAUUGGCUCCAGCAGGGGGGCGGGCGCCCAGGCUUCCAGGGCGGGCGCCCUGGGCCUGGCCCAGUUUGGCCUCCGCUUCGGUCUCGUGGCUUCUGGAGUCUUCUAGAUGAUGUAUUGCGCGGUUUGUUGAUAUCUCUAUGUAAUCUUGACAUGUGGGCCUUUCUUCCUUAUUUCCUGAUAACCCCCUGCAGAAAUAGAUAAACAACAAAACUCGUGGAAUUCUAUCAGAUCAAACCCUAAUUCUAGGUGUGAGUUGCAUAUUGGUCCUUUCUCUUGUUUAUUUGAUAAUUAAAAUUGAUACUUAAGAACCGUCAACACUUGCUAGACUUUGAGCCACACAUUUACUAUUUACUGCUUAUGAGCAUUGAGUGUGGUCAAGCUGUGUAUACCCUUAGGAGCUAGUCAUGUGGUUAAAUCAAGAUUUCACGUGCACGUUCACCCACACAUGCUACUUCUACUCCAGAAGUACCAUCCACAUAUAUACAUCCAUUUCCAUCUCCAGAACCACCCAAAAAUAUUCUACUCCUAAUCUUGGAGAGAAUAGCCAAAAACAUCUUUGUCUUUCCCCUAUGAAAUAAAUGCUCAAGUUAUCUUGUUACUACCACUUGCUAUAUUAUCUCAAGAGAUGAGUGCUCUAAAAAAAAGAAGGAAAAAAAUACGAGGAAAUAAAAAGGGGCAAGUGCCCGGAACCUCGAAAGAAAAGAAAAAGUGAGAUGAGAGGUAAAAAUGGACAAGGGUCCGAUAGUAGAAUUAGGGGUACAAGAUACCGACCUGAGAGAAAACAAAAAGAUAGAGCAUCUCAUUCUCCUCACUAUUCCAAAAGCAAGGAAGGUAUGUAUCCCCUCAAAAGAGCAAAAGUAGAAUUAGACUUUCACCAUUGUUAUCACCAUCAUCACCAUACACCAUUCAUUCGCCACACAUACACAUCUUAAUUUGACUUAUUGACUUGUUUCUCUGGAUCCAUGGUUUGACUAUGCAAUAAAUGUCUUGUAAGUAUGUAUACUUUAUCUCCCACCUAUGAGCUCCAGAUAUUAAAGCCUUAUUAGAGUAGGAUGAGAGAGGAGGCAAUGUCACUAUACCUUAUACCACAAAUACUACAUAUCUUGAGAGAAGGCAUAUACCAUCACUGCCUUGGUAAGGAUCCAGAAAUACCACAAAAGAGAGAUUUGAGAGAAUCAUACGAGGAAUCUCUGAGUUUUAUUUGAAAAUCUACAAAAAACUCCAGAGCUAUAGCUGAUCAAGAAUAAGAGACAUGGCACUUGACUAGACUGUUCUAUCUUUUAACUACUCAAGACAGAAGUGACGGUUACAAGUCCCA